This 3336-nucleotide long non-coding RNA is filed under the name Triticum aestivum (bread wheat). RNAcentral's name for it is "long non-coding RNA (TAES_LNC010129)". The stretch from base 788 to 922 matches the Rfam family "MIR1120/MIR1122 microRNA precursor family". Lineage: Eukaryota; Viridiplantae; Streptophyta; Magnoliopsida; Poales; Poaceae. The record is from RNAcentral.
AGAGUUAUUUGAAACGUGUUUCAUUUGUUCUUUACAAAGUGUUAGAUACAAUUUCACUGCACAUAAGAAUUUUCAAGCUCGGUUAAAAUGUAUUUUCAAGCAUACAAACCACAACUAAACAACACAAAUGUAAAUAUAUACGAUUGAGUCAUACUUCCUAGAAAAAGGCAAGCAAUGGACUGGUAAUAGGUAGGCCUGUUUUAGAGAGAUUGUGGUAAACUAAAAUUCAUUAUUACAUGCAAAAUGUUUUUGCUUCGGAGCAGAACACUGACUAUCUCUGUCUUUGUAUCUUUUUCUUCCCAGAGCUAGAGUGUGAUGCCUUGCUCCUAUUCAUGGCUCUUUGACCUAAAAAUUUUGAACAAUCUAAAUUAGUUAUUCAUUCAAUGGGAAAUCUGAAGUGGGGAUUACUUCGCCAAUAUUAUUAGCAAGUUUAUGAGGGAAAAGAAAAAUGGUCGAGGUUCCUUGAUCCUAGUAACAUGAGCUGAGAUUAUUUUGUCAGGGACUCAUGGUCAUGGCUGUAUAUAAUUUUCACAAGCAACACACCCUAUGUGACAACCUACCUUCGAUCACAAAGCUAUAUAAUCUAUAUAAUAGACAAAAAUGGAGCCUUCGAUAACCUAAAUACCUAUUUUUCCUACCAUAGUGUGAUGAGGCUCUGAAACUGCACAUACAGGGAUUUUCAUGGGACCAUUCAGGACUUUGAAAAAAGAUACAAAACUGCAUUCAGCCCCUCCAUCUAAGGGUACCUCAAUAAUAAACCAAUACUUCAUGAUAGAAUAAUCUGAAAAUCAUACUCCCUCCGUCCCAAAAUUCUUGUCUUAGAUUUGUCUAGAUACAUAUGUAUCUAAUACUAAAACGUGACUUGAUACACUCGUAUUUAGAAAAAUCUAAGACAAGAAUUUUGGGACGGAGGGAGCAUAUGAUAACAAUGCAAAAUAAUCUUGCAGCACCUCCUAAAACUGUAAAAGCUGUGAAAUUGGCAGUCAACUUACUAUCAAUAGGAAACACCACACUAUGAUAACAAUGCAAAAUAAUCUUGCAGCACCUCCUAAAACUGUAAAAGCUGUGAAAUUGGAAGUCAACUUACUAUCAACGGAAAACACCACACUGCACUAUAUUUUUCCAGGAACAAGAUGCUAAUAUGCUUUCCCGUUCCCACUGCAAGGAUGCAUGUCGUCUCCCCAUUCUCCACCGCGAGGACGCCGGCACGUCCCUGUUCUCCACCGCUAGGACGCUCAACUCCUCCCCUAUCUCCACCAUAAGGACGUUGGGCGCCUCUUCGAUUGCCACCCUGAGCACCACAUUGAGGUCGUCUAGCAAUGUACUGUUGAAGAAACUCCUUUUCAUUGUCCCCCUCUCUUAAUUUUUCACAGCACAUACCACUUGUUAUUCUACACCUAGGACGACUGUUCUUGUAGAUUUUGCUGACCACCAUAUUCUACAGUAAUUAGUAUGGUUGCAGUCCAAUGUGUUGAUUUUCAGCGGGCCAAUGUGUUGAUUGACUAAUUUUGUGCAUCAAAAACAGUAGGGCAAUGUUGAUGAAUCAGUUUUGUUUAGUAAAAAAUAGAGUCCGUAACAAUACUAUAAAAGCGCUAGUCUCCAAAGUCCACCAUGCCGCAAAAAACAUUUAGCACCCAUUUAAAUAUGGAUUUGGGUUCAUAUAUACACAAAGCACAGUAAUUAUUGUGAAGCAAGAAAAAGAAUGCUCCUACUAUCAGAAAUAUGUGCCAACAACAACACCAUCCUAUUAGAGCUCGAAAACAUGAACAAAUAAGGCACCUAUACCUGUUCUUGGAGCUGUGUCUGAACCUACAUUUGCAUAUGUAGAGCUUCUGCCAAGUUCCUAAGAAAAGGAGAAGGGGACAGAUGUAAAUUUUUAAGGUCAUGGUAUUUACCAUGCAUACAUUCCAGUGUAAUAAUUCAGAGAUAUUACUUGUUUUUGAACGGAGCAGAAUCAAUACGAUUAUUAGUAAAAAAUAGAGUCUGUAACAAUACUAUAAAAGUGCUAGUCUCCAAAGUCCACCAUGCCGCAAAAACAUUUAUCACCCAUUUAAAUAUGGAUUUGGGUUCAUAUAUACAGAAAGCGCAGUAAUUAUUGUGAAGUAAGAAAAAGAAUGCUCCUACUAUCAGAAAUAUAUGCCGACAAGAACACCAUCCUAUUAGAGCUCGAAAACAGGAACAGAGAAGGCACCUAUAGCUGUUCAUGGAGCUGUGUCUGAACCUCCAUUUGCAUAUGUAGAGCUUCUGCCAAGUUCCUGAGAAAAGCAGAAGGGGACAUAUGUAAAUUUGUAAGGUCAUGGUAUUUACCAUGCAUACAUUCUAGUGUAAUAAUUCAGAGAUAUUACUUGUUUUUGAACGGAGCAUUUCCACUGCUACCUAGUUGUACCUUCUUAAUGUCCGAGGAGGCCUCCUUGUCUGCAUAGAGUAUGCAUAAAAAUUCAGUAUAAAAAAGGACGACUCAUGACUAGAAAGAUCAUUGUCGCAAUUUGGAAUGACAUGUUCUAGUAGGAAUCCUAGAUAUACAAAGAGAGUAUUAGUUCAGCAGAAUCAAUAUGAUUAUGCAACAAACUAUCAACCAUUGCACUAUAUCUCAAGAAUUUAUAGUGUAGCCACCAAACGAAGUGGUAAUCAAGGCAACAUCAAUCUAACAACAAUGGCUGACCGAUGAUGUUUUAGUCCUUCUGGAUUACUAAUUCAGAGGAACUGUAACAAAAAUCGCUCUUUGGUGAAUAGCAUCAACUGAUUCUUUGAACUCUAAAUUCCACUCUUAGCUAAAAUUAGUCUUCCUCUCUUCUAUGUCAGAUCUACACACGUCAAGUUUAAAUAUCCAUAUAAUAGCAAAGUAAAAUAGGUGUGAGGAAGAAAUUAAAAGAGGGAGAGAAAGAGUGGAUCACCUAGUUCGCCGCCAGCCUGCAUCGCUCGAGCCGCCUGCAAUAGGCACAUGUUGUCCUCCUUAUACUCCAGAUCCAUGAGGCAGCCAUGGGAGGAGGGGUGAUCUCCUGGUUCCUCUCGCCUUCCCACACCGCCUGAUCACCUCAAGCUCCUUGCCCAGUGGGAGGGGGGUGGAGGCAGAGGUUGCGUCUCUCAUAGGCAGAGGAUGCGCCUCUCAUGGUGCAGAGGAGGCGACGACACGGUGGCGCAACAAAUCAGCCGGCAGGUGUGCGAGGCCUCACCCUGCCCCUUCCCCAUGCUAGGAUCGCUCACCUUCUCCUUCCCCGCUGUUGCUUGGCUUCCUCGGCGGCCUCCUCCUUCCCUCCUUGUCCACAUCCUACACCUCCCCUACAUCCCCACCCGCACCGUGAAGCUAACCUACGUCCGAUCUGGGUCGGCGGUGAC